UUUUUUUUGUUUACAGAUUAAAAUAAUUGAAUAAAAGUAAAAAGUUUACCAAAAAUAAAUAUAUGAGAGUAUUGUUGAUGUUCGAUGAAAAAAUAUAAACCAAAUUUUAGUUUUUAGUUUAAUAAAUCUAAACAUUUAUUAAUUGUUUAUAUAGGAUUUUUAUGGGUUUAAUUAGUAAAAAAUAUUAUAAUAAAAAUAAAAAUAACAGCUACACUACCAAAGUUGAGGAAAUAGUUUUGGAAACCUCUAAGUUUCCAAUAACAGAUAUCAAGACUUAUUUUUUAUCAUAAUAUCCUUUGAAUAUUGAUAUAACUUAAAAGUUAUUUCUAACUCCUAAGUAUAAGAGUGUCUUGUUAUAUUAUACCUCGGUCUCGAUUCACAGAAAAAAAAUUUAAUUUGUUUAUUUUAUUUUAUCUAAAAAUGAAAACAAAACUUGAAUAUAUGCAACUUAAUUUAAGUGAAACCAUGGAAUUGAAUUAGUUAGGGUUAUGGAUCCACUCUUAGUAAUAAAUAAAAUUUAAUCAAUUCUUUUUGCCAUUUUUUAUUUAGAUUUAUUGCCCAAAAGAUUUAUUAUAUAAAUUAUUAUUAUUUUCUCAUUAAUUUUAUUAUGGAUUAAGUAUUUAGUGUGCCAAAAUUUAAUUUGUUUACAAUAAGUCAAAAUAUCAUUUUACCAAACCUUAUAUUGAGAUAUUAAGAAUUUAUUGUGC
Molecule: long non-coding RNA, 707 nt
Filed under: Citrus sinensis (sweet orange)
Lineage: Eukaryota; Viridiplantae; Streptophyta; Magnoliopsida; Sapindales; Rutaceae
Description: long non-coding RNA (CSIN_LNC001103)
Source: RNAcentral